Molecule: ribosomal RNA, 400 nt
Filed under: uncultured bacterium
Lineage: Bacteria
Description: bacterial SSU rRNA
Rfam family: Bacterial small subunit ribosomal RNA
Source: RNAcentral
GACGAACGCUGGCGGCGUGCUUAACACAUGCAAGUCGAGCGAGGUCCAUCCGGUGGCAACACCGGGGAAGACCGAGCGGCGAACGGGUGAGUAACACGUGAGCAACCUGCCCCGAAGACUGGGAUAACACCGGGAAACCGGUGCUAAUACCGGAUGUCCUCCUCUGGUCGCAUGGCCUAGGGAGGAAAGACUGUAUCUAAUAGAUGCAGCUUGCUUCGGGAGGGGCUCGCGGGCUAUCAGCUUGUUGGUGGGGUAACGGCUCACCAAGGCGACGACGGCUAGCUGGUCUGAGAGGACGACCAGCCACACUGGGACUGAGACACGGCCCAGACUCCUACGGGAGGCAGCAGUGGGGAAUCUUGCGCAAUGGGCGAAAGCCUGACGCAGCAACGCCGGCGGU